AUUAUUUUUAUUUUUAGCUGAAAAGACGUAAAGGCAGUCAGCCCAGUGGUGUUUCUGGAGAGGGAUUCCUUCAGAAAUGGAGAAGACAGAAAGCUGCGGAGGCAGAUAUUUGCAGCAGUAAGUCUGUGAUAGUUUGUCUCUUUUAUCAAAAAUUCCUGCUGUUAUAAUUUGUACAGCAUUUGUUGUUUCUUAAACUGUUGCACUGUCCAAAUACCCACACUUGCCAUCUUUUCACUUGACCACUUGAUUACUUAUUUGAAGUCUUUCCUGUAUUUGGCCUAGUGUUCGAGUGAGCAUGAUGACCACGAGUGUGUGUCGAACUUUUCAUGACCUGAUGACUGUGUUUCCCAAUCCUGGUCCUGGAGAACCCCAGCACUGCACGGUUUUGGUGUCUCUCUUAUCUGCCUUGGAGUCUUCACUGAUGAGCUGAUGAGUUGAAUCAGGUGUGUUUGAUCAGGGAGACAUCUCAAAUGUGCAGUGUUGGGGUUCUCCAGGACCAGGAUUGGGAGCCACUGCCUUAUGGGACACUUAUGUGUUUAAAGAGAUUUUUAAUAUCUAAUUAUCAAUAUUUCACAUACUGUACAUUGGACAGCUUUCCAUGACCUCUUGUGAGAUCUCGGCAAAAAGUCUGACGAUUUAUUCCAAAACAUGAUGCAUGAUGGGAUACACUAAGCUUUGUAUAGCGCUCCGGAGCAGUAUUGGAGAGGUUUAGUGUGUGUUAAGGACGCUGUGCUUUGGCAUUAUUAAGACCGGGGACAGUCUUGUGCACACACUGUCACGUACACACACUCUCAAGUGGCCAAGACUGCAAGUGUGGGUAUCUGGACAGGGUCAAAGUCUUAAAAAUGAUCCCUAAACACAUCACAGUCUUAAUAAUCCAGUUUAACACUUGUAUGAUAUUGUACAAGCCCCAGGACUGUCUCAUCUGACACUAUCAAAGAAUUCAUAUGACUAUAGCUUGCUAUUAAUUACUUGCUUUCAAUAAUGGAUUCAUUUAACAUUUAAUUAUACAGCAUCUUUACAGAGGUGUAAUGUACAAGCUGCACGUAAUUAAUAAUAUGUCCUUCCUUCUGUCUUACAGGAUUUUUUCCAGAUAAUGCUGUUCUUCUUUUUCAGGUCUAAAAUAUCGAGCUCAACAGCUAUUUUAAGAGCCAACCCUCACAAACCUUCCUAAAACCUAAAAGAGCUAUUACUGAGUCUCAGCGAAUCUUGCCAUGAUCAGCUCUUCCCAGAAGAGAAGGAAGACCAAGGAAAUGAUUUGCUCAGGAUGAGGAAUGAAGAUGGCCAUCUUGAGCUCAAACAAACAGAAGUCCUCUGAUGAUCUCAUCAGCCAAAUGAGGGGUUUUGACCAAGUGAUGCUCUUGAAAGGAGUGAAAGAAGAGGAUGUGGUAAAUUGUCUUCAGAGAAAAGCUUCUCAAAAGAUCUUAAAACAGCUUGAAGAAUGGUCUGGGAUCUUAGGACUGAGAGAUCAUCUGGCUGAGAACAAGCUACACCUCAUCAGUGCUGGACAUCAACCACAAACUGUUUCCAGACACGAGAGAAGAAGAUCACGAUGGGGAGAUGAAACCAGUUUAGAUGUGAUGAUGGGAAUCAUUAUUUUCUGAAACAGUAUCACAUGUCUUAUAUGUAUCACAUGAUCUGUAUCACAGUUGACUGGAUGGGACUGUGUGACUUUUAAGGACAUUUCAUCACUCAUCUGUGUGAACUGAUUUAUAUAUGAGGUUAAUGUAUCUUUGAUGAUAAUUAUUUUCAUUGAAUCUUAUUUGUCUUGAUGCUACUUUAUCAAGUUUAUAGUCUAUGCUUCAAUAAAAUGAAAAUGGUGAA
Long non-coding RNA from Carassius gibelio (silver crucian carp), 1824 nucleotides. RefSeq lists it as uncharacterized. Lineage: Eukaryota; Metazoa; Chordata; Actinopteri; Cypriniformes; Cyprinidae. The transcript is spliced from 4 exons. The record is from RefSeq and is a predicted model, not a curated record.